CCCUACGGGGUGCAGCAGGCGAUCGGGUUGUUAUGAUUGGCAAUCUGCUUGCGAUAUUUCCAGAUCUUGAUGAGGCAAUCCUGGGCGAUUGCCUCAGGAUCCAGAUCCGACCUUUGGGCAAUCAAGGCAUGGAUUUUCUGGAAAACCCAGGCCGCCAGUUCCCGCAAGGCUUCUGCAUUGGGGGGAUCUCCGAGUGCCGCCCGUAUUAUCCGCUUGAACCAAUCGCUCAGGUUUUCCGAGCCGUCCGGCGCAAAACCAUUUGUAAUCUUUGACAUGCAGAUAUUUCCCGUGUUACCUCGCAAACAAUACACCAUUUGCAUGCCGACUUCUUAUGCCGCUGGCUAAUGGAUAUGACCGAGGAUACCCCUUCAAGCUAUCGUCGCCUUUUCUAUCGUCAAUUCUUUUUUGAAAUUCGUUUAUUCGUUCACGCUUACUGCAAAUGAAUUGGCGGGGGGGC
Molecule: ribosomal RNA, 457 nt
Filed under: uncultured prokaryote
Description: partial 16S ribosomal RNA
Source: RNAcentral